Oryzias latipes (Japanese medaka) is the source of this 609-nucleotide non-coding RNA. Lineage: Eukaryota; Metazoa; Chordata; Actinopteri; Beloniformes; Adrianichthyidae. The record is from RefSeq and is a predicted model, not a curated record.
GCUUCCUCGUGUUUCCUCCGUAUUUAUUUAUUUAUUUUUUUCACUUUUUCUCCUCAUUGCACGGUUUCUCCUCCAUCUCUCCCAAUUACUUUUUUUUUUCUUUUCUUUUUUUAAAUAACCUGGCAUGUCUGUCCCAUCUUGUCUUCAACCUUUCUUCUGCUGACCUAAACUCACGACAGAAAAUCGGCGGUUUCCAUUAGGUGUUCUGCUUGAAUUUGUUUGUCUAAUGGCUUUCAUAAUCCUCUCAGAGGCCAUCGACAGCCAGCUUUACCUGGGAGUAUAAACACAGAAACCCUUAUAACCAUUUUCAGGUGAAAUGAUUGAUCACCUCCUGCGCGUCUUCCUGCAGCACAGAUGUUCAGAGAUGUUAUGACACUGCUGUGUGAAUAAAUUGCAAGCUCCUUCAUCUGCUUCCUCUCUAACCUGAGCCUCUGCAGUUUCCUGGGGGGCUCAGUGACACAGCCGAGGCUCCAUUUUGUUCCUGCAGCACAGCCAUUUUAGGUCCCUGUGCUGUGAAGUUCUCACCCAGCUCUUUUUUUUUUUUUAAUUAAUUUGUUUGUUUUGCAGAUUCUUCAUGAAUUUAAAGCUAAAUAAAUCCACUUAAACCUU